AUAGUGAAUGGAAAAAGUAAAUUGAACACUGCAAUAGAUAAAUAUCCAAACACAAUUAAAGCCAUUAAAAUGCAACACUAAAUUAAGUGGAUGAAAAACAACUCAACCUACUAAUUAAACUAAGUGAAAACAAGAGAAACUAACAAGCCUAUUUAACUUCUAGUAAUUUAUGUGAACCAAAGUGCAAUUGACAAAUAAAUUAAAAAGUCCAAUUGGCCAAAGAAAAACC
This 229-nucleotide long non-coding RNA is filed under the name Vigna radiata. RNAcentral's name for it is "long non-coding RNA (VRAD_LNC004707)". Lineage: Eukaryota; Viridiplantae; Streptophyta; Magnoliopsida; Fabales; Fabaceae. The record is from RNAcentral.